This 497-nucleotide ribosomal RNA is filed under the name uncultured bacterium. RNAcentral describes it as "partial 16S ribosomal RNA". It matches the Rfam family "Bacterial small subunit ribosomal RNA", at positions 28 to 507 of the family's 1533-position model. The record is from RNAcentral.
GAUGAACGCUGGCGGCGUGCCUAAUACAUGCAAGUCGAGCGAACGGACGAGAAGCUUGCUUCUCUGAUGUUAGCGGCGGACGGGUGAGUAACACGUGGAUAACCUACCUAUAAGACUGGGAUAACUUCGGGACACCGGAGCUAAUACCGGAUAAUAUUUUGCACCGCAUGGUUCAAAAGUGAAAGACGGUCUUGCUGUCACUUAUAGCUGGAUCCGCGCUGCAUUAGCUAGUUGGUAAGGUAACGGCUUACCAAGGCAACGAUGCAUAGCCGACCUGAGAGGGUGAUCGGCCACACUGGAACUGAGACACGGUCCAGACUCCUACGGGAGGCAGCAGUAGGGAAUCUUCCGCAAUGGGCGAAAGCCUGACGGAGCAACGCCGCGUGAGUGAUGAAGGUCUUCGGAUCGUAAAACUCUGUUAUUAGGGAAGAACAUAUGUGUAAGUAACUGUGCACAUCUUGACGGUACCUAAUCAGAAAGCCACGGCUAACUACGUG